UACGGAGGGUGCAAGCGUUAUCCGGAUUCACUGGGUUUAAAGGGUGCGUAGGUGGGUUGGUAAGUCAGUGGUGAAAUCUCCGGGCUUAACCUGGAAACUGCCAUUGAUACUAUCAAUCUUGAAUACCUUGGAGGUGAGCGGAAUAUGUCAUGUAGCGGUGAAAUGCUUAGAUAUGACAUAGAACACCAAUUGCGAAGGCAGCUCACUGCACGGUCAUUGACGCUGAGGCACGAAAGCGUGGGGAUCAAACAGG
Molecule: ribosomal RNA, 253 nt
Filed under: uncultured bacterium
Lineage: Bacteria
Description: partial 16S ribosomal RNA
Rfam family: Bacterial small subunit ribosomal RNA
Source: RNAcentral